Molecule: ribosomal RNA, 253 nt
Filed under: uncultured bacterium
Lineage: Bacteria
Description: partial 16S ribosomal RNA
Rfam family: Bacterial small subunit ribosomal RNA
Source: RNAcentral
UACGGAGGGGGCUAGCGUUGUUCGGAAUUACUGGGCGUAAAGCGCACGUAGGCGGCUUUGUAAGUUAGAGGUGAAAGCCCGGGGCUCAACUCCGGAAUUGCCUUUAAGACUGCAUCGCUAGAAUUGUGGAGAGGUAAGUGGAAUUCCGGGUGGAGCGGUGAAGUGCGUAGAGAUCCGGAGGAACACCGAAGGCGAAGGCAGUCUCCUGGCAAGUUUCUGACGCUCAGGUGCGAAAGCUAGGGGAGCGAACAGG